This 73-nucleotide transfer RNA is filed under the name Camelus bactrianus (Bactrian camel). It matches the Rfam family "tRNA". Rfam says of the family: Transfer RNA (tRNA) molecules are approximately 80 nucleotides in length. Their secondary structure includes four short double-helical elements and three loops (D, anti-codon, and T loops). RNAcentral also lists the same sequence under 2 other names. The record is from Rfam by way of RNAcentral. Lineage: Eukaryota; Metazoa; Chordata; Mammalia; Artiodactyla; Camelidae.
GAGGAUAUAGCUCAGUGGUAAGAGUACAUGCCUAACAUGUACAAAGUCCUGGGUUCAAUCCCCAGUACCUCCA